ACAGCAGGCCGGCUUGUCGCCCAAAGGGGAGGAAAGUCCGGACAACACAGAGCACUGCGCUUCUUAACGGGAAGGUGGCUGUAAAGUCACGAAGGUGUAGCAGAAAAUUACCGCCUUUAGAGGUAAGGGUGAAAAGGUGGGGUAAGAGCCCACCGGAUCUUGUGGUGACAUGAGGUGCCGUACACCCCGCAGGUUGCAAGACCAUGUAUAUCGCGGUACUCAUUUGAGUACGGAAUGGCUCGUUCCGGUUCUUUUUACAGAUGCCGCGAAGGGUAGGUCGCUAAAGGGAUUAGGUAACUGGUUCCGCAGAUCAAUGACAAGCCCCUUUUUAUCAGGGACAGAAUCCGGCUUACAGGCUUGCUGUUUUU
This 368-nucleotide RNase P RNA is filed under the name Marinilabilia rubra. RNAcentral's name for it is "Bacterial RNase P class A". It matches the Rfam family "Bacterial RNase P class A". Rfam says of the family: Ribonuclease P (RNase P) is a ubiquitous endoribonuclease, found in archaea, bacteria and eukarya as well as chloroplasts and mitochondria. Its best characterised activity is the generation of mature 5'-ends of tRNAs by cleaving the 5'-leader elements of precursor-tRNAs. Cellular RNase Ps are ribonucleoproteins. Lineage: Bacteria; Pseudomonadati; Bacteroidota; Bacteroidia; Marinilabiliales; Marinilabiliaceae. The record is from Rfam by way of RNAcentral.